Molecule: ribosomal RNA, 484 nt
Filed under: uncultured bacterium
Lineage: Bacteria
Description: partial 16S ribosomal RNA
Rfam family: Bacterial small subunit ribosomal RNA
Source: RNAcentral
AUUGAACGCUGGCGGCAUGCUUUACACAUGCAAGUCGAACGGCAGCGCGGGGUUCGUCCUGGUGUCGUGUGGCCAACUGGUGAGUAAUGCAUCGGAAUGUGCCCUGCUUUGGUGGCUAGCCCGGCUAAAGCCGGUUUAAUCUCGUAUACGACCCGAUGGUGAACGGGGGGGACCGAAAGUACCCGCGCUAUUGUUGAUCACGAUGUCGGAUUGACUGGUUUGUGUGGGAAAGGUCUCCCAAAGCGGCGUGCCGGAGCUCGUCUUCAGGGACGACCGGCCACAAUGGGAAUGAGACACGGGCCAGACUCCGACGGGAGGCAGGAGUGGGGAAUUUUGGACAAAGGGGGCAACUCUGAUCCAGCCAUGCCGCGUGCGGGAAGAAGGCCUUCGGGUUGUAAACCGCUUUUGUUCGGGAAGAAAUCCUCUGGGAUAAUACCCCGCAGAGAUGACGGUACCGGAAGAAUAAGCACCGGCUAACUACGUG